AUUGAACGCUGGCGGAAUGCUUUACACAUGCAAGUCGAACGGUAGAGGGGGCAACCCCUCGAGAGUGGCGAACGGGUGAGUAAUAUAUCGGAACGUGCCCAGUCGUGGGGGAUAACGUAGCGAAAGUUACGCUAAUACCGCAUACGAUCUAAGGAUGAAAGCGGGGGAUCGCAAGACCUCGCGCGAUUGGAGCGGCCGAUAUCAGAUUAGGUAGUUGGUGGGGUAAAGGCUCACCAAGCCAACGAUCUGUAGCUGGUCUGAGAGGACGACCAGUCAGACUGGAACUGAGACGCGGUCCAGACUCCUACGGGAGGCAGCAGUGGGGGAUUUUGGACAAUGGACGCAAGUCUGAUCCAGCCAUUCCGCGUGCAGGAUGAAGGCCCUCGGGUUGUAAACUGCUUUUGUACGGAACGAAAAGGUCUCUCUUAAUACGGGGGGCUCAUGACGGUACCGUAAGAAUAAGCACCGGCUAACUACGUGCCAGCAGCCGCCGUAA
RNAcentral lists this ribosomal RNA (496 nucleotides) under uncultured bacterium. Its description in RNAcentral is "partial 16S ribosomal RNA". It matches the Rfam family "Bacterial small subunit ribosomal RNA", at positions 30 to 523 of the family's 1533-position model. The record is from RNAcentral.